UAACUGAAGAGUUUGAUCAUGGCUCAGAUUGAACGCUGGCGGCAGGCUUAACACAUGCAAGUCGAGCGGGGAAGGGUAGCUUGCUACCUAACCUAGCGGCGGACGGGUGAGUAAUGCUUAGGAAUCUGCCUAUUAGUGGGGGACAACAUUCCGAAAGGAAUGCUAAUACCGCAUACGCCCUACGGGGGAAAGCAGGGGAUCUUCGGACCUUGCGC
This 215-nucleotide ribosomal RNA is filed under the name Kaistia algarum. RNAcentral's name for it is "partial 16S ribosomal RNA". It matches the Rfam family "Bacterial small subunit ribosomal RNA", at positions 1 to 218 of the family's 1533-position model. Lineage: Bacteria; Pseudomonadati; Pseudomonadota; Alphaproteobacteria; Hyphomicrobiales; Kaistiaceae. The record is from RNAcentral.